RNAcentral lists this ribosomal RNA (487 nucleotides) under uncultured bacterium. Its description in RNAcentral is "bacterial SSU rRNA". It matches the Rfam family "Bacterial small subunit ribosomal RNA", at positions 899 to 1397 of the family's 1533-position model. The record is from RNAcentral.
ACUCAAAUGAAUAGACGGGGGCCCGCACAAGCAGCGGAGCGUGUGGUUUAAUUCGAUGCAACGCGAAGAACCUUACCAAGGCUUGACAUGCUAGAAGUAGAAACUUGAAAGAGGAACCACCUGUAUCCAGUCAGGAGCUAGCACAGGUGCUGCAUGGCUGUCGUCAGCUCGUGCCGUGAGGUGUUAGGUUAAGUCCUGCAACGAGCGCAACCCUCAUUGCUAGUUGAAUUCUCUAGCGAUACUGCCCGUAUAACGUGGAGGAAGGUGAGGAUGACGUCAAGUCAGCAUGGCCCUUACGCCUUGGGCUACACACACGCUACAAUGGAUGAUACAGAGGGUCGCUAAGAAGCGAUUCGGAGCUAAUCCUUAAAAUCAUCCUCAGUUCAGAUUGUAGACUGAAACUGUCUACAUGAAGUAGGAGUUGCUAGUAACCGCAGGUCAGCACACUGCGGUGAAUACGUUCUCGGGCCUUGUACACACCGCCCGU